CAGCCGCCACGGUAAUACGGAGGGUGCAAGCGUUAAUCGGAAUUACUGGGCCUAAAGCGCACGCAGGCGGUCUGUCAAGUCAGAUGUGAAAUCCCCGGGCUUAACCUGGGAACUGCAUUUGAAACUGGCAGGCUAGAGUCUUGUAGAGGGGGGUAGAAUUCCAGGUGUAGCGGUGAAAUGCGUAGAGAUCUGGAGGAAUACCGGUGGCGAAGGCGGCCCCCUGGACAAAGACUGACGCUCAGGUGCGAAAGCGUGGGGAGCAAACAGGAUUAGAUACCCCGGUAGUCCCUGUCUCUUAUAC
RNAcentral lists this ribosomal RNA (301 nucleotides) under uncultured bacterium. RNAcentral describes it as "partial 16S ribosomal RNA". It matches the Rfam family "Bacterial small subunit ribosomal RNA", at positions 509 to 807 of the family's 1533-position model. The record is from RNAcentral.